This 2235-nucleotide small RNA is filed under the name Pongo abelii (Sumatran orangutan). RNAcentral describes it as "processed transcript". Lineage: Eukaryota; Metazoa; Chordata; Mammalia; Primates; Hominidae. The record is from RNAcentral.
AUCUACACAAAGUGCUUAAUUUCUUUUUAAUGCAUCAAAUUUUAUUAUUUCUGACAUCUUACUGUGUUCACAUGGCUGUAAGAAAAGGACAGAGCAGGCCGGGCAUGGUGGCUCACGCCUAUAAUCCCAGCACUUUGGGAGGCCGAGGCGGGCAGAUCACGAGGUCAGGAGAUCGAGACCAUCCUGGCUAACACAGUGAAACCCCAUCUCUAUUGAAAAAGUACAAAAAAAAUUAGCCGGGCGUGGUGGCAGGCGCCUGUAGUCCCAGCUACGUGGGAGGCUGAAGCAGGAGAAUGGCAUGAACCCAGGAGGCGGAGCUUGCAGUGAGCAGAGAUGUGCCACUGCACUCCAGCCUGGGCAACAGAGCGAGACUCCAUCUGAAAAAAAAAAAAGAAAGAAAAGGACAGAGUAGUUUCUAUCCCAAAAAAAUCCCAUCAUGUCAUAUGGGGACAAUUAGAAUGUAAUUAUGUCCCAUACUUAUGCUUCUGUGAAUUUUUAUGCCCAGCUCAAGGCCUCAGACUGCCUUCUGUCCAGAGAUGAUGAUGGUGAUCACAGCAUGGUACCACAACCUACACGCUGCCUGCAGCUGGGGCCUCCCACCAGACUGGUUGGGUUUUCAACCCAGCUCUGUGACCAUGGAUGUGUAUAUGGCCUUGGGCAGUCACCUGCCCUCUUGGUGCCUCAAUUGUCUAAUCCAUAGAAUGGAGAUAAUGUCAGUUCCUACUUUGUGGGGCAGUUAUGAGGCUGUAAAGCACUGGUCAGUACCUGGCACACAGGCUACAUACAUGUUGCCUGUAUUAUUUAUGCAGUUGUUUUAUUUUUGUGUCUGGGGUACCUUCUCGCUACCCCAACCCACUUCUGGUGGAUUAUGCAAACUAUUUCUUUUCUUUGAGCUGGUGCUGCUGCUGCUUUUCUCUGGUGUCUGGGAAUGGGGCUGAGCUGCCUUACGGAGGCAGUGCAGGGGAGCAUCCCGAGGGCCUCUGUGCCAUAGGAAUGGUUUCUUUUGAUCUCUCCCCACAGGGUGUGGCCACUGUAAGAAAAUGAAGCCAGAGUUUGAGAAGGCAGCAGAAGCCCUCCAUGGAGACGCGGAUAGCUCUGGUGUCCUUGCAGCUGUCGAUGCCACUGUCAACAAGGCCCUGGCAGAAAGAUUCCACAUCUCAGAGUUUCCUACAUUGAAGUAUUUUAAGAAUGGAGAGAAAUACGCAGUGCCCGUGCUCAGGACAAAGAAGAAGUUUCUCGAGUGGAUGCAAAACCCUGAGGCCCCCCCACCCCCAGAGCCCACGUGGGAAGAGCAGCAGACAAGCGUGUUGCACCUGGUGGGGGACAACUUCCGGGAGACCCUGAAGAAGAAGAAACACACCUUGGUCAUAUUCUACGCCCCUUGGUGCCCACACUGUAAGAAGGUCAUUCCGCACUUUACUGCUGCUGCUGAUGCCUUCAAAGAUGACCGAAAGAUCGCCUGUGCCGCUGUUGACUGUGUCAAAGACAAGAACCAAGACCUGUGCCAGCAGGAGGCUGUCAAGGGCUACCCCACUUUCCACUACUACCACUACGGGAAGUUCGCAGAAAAGUAUGACAGCGACCGCACAGUAAGUGGGGGAGAGGUGUCUGCCCAGAGCUCUCUCUGCUGAUGGGCAGGGAAACUUCCACUGAGGAGGGGCAGCACUGGGCAGCAUCCCAGAAACCGCGGAAGUCAGCUGGAACACUGCACCGAGAGGCCCAGGCCCUGGGCCUGGCUGAGGCUUGACAUUGUUGGAGGAGAGUCCCAAGGGGUUUUCACAGAUGUCCUGUCCCCAGAGGCAGGCUGGACUCCAGAUGCCGAGGGUUUUCUCACUUGCUGGUCAGGGCUGGUGCAAGCCACACAGACCCUCUCCACCUUGCAGAAGUCUGCCCACCUCUCCCUGUCAUAGGAGUGACCCCCUAGAGGGGCUGGGGAUGUGGGGAGAGAGAGUGCACAGCCAGCUCAGGGAUUAAAGCUCUUUCUCUCUCUCUCUCUCCCCCUUCCCUGCAGGAAUUGGGAUUUACCAAUUAUAUUCGAGCCCUCCGGGAGGGAGACCAUGAAAGACUAGGGAAAAAGAAGGAAGAGUUAUAAUUCCUGCCUCAGAAAAAGCUUUUCCAUUACACUGUGAAUGAUACCUGUUUUGUUGUUUCUGAAUUUCCACAUGUUCUGAAGACAAAUUUUUUAUAGCCGCUUAUGGCCAUUUUGUACAAUUUUGAAAUAAAAUUAAACCAUUU